Molecule: ribosomal RNA, 236 nt
Filed under: uncultured bacterium
Lineage: Bacteria
Description: partial 16S ribosomal RNA
Rfam family: Bacterial small subunit ribosomal RNA
Source: RNAcentral
UGAGGAACAUGACCUUCGGCGGGGGAUAGCCGGCCCAACGGCCGGGUAAUACCGCGUACGACCACAUGGGGACAUCCCUGAGUGGUGAAAGCAGCAAUGCGCCGAUGGAGUGCCUCGCGGCCUAUCAGCUAGUUGGUGAGGUAACGGCUCACCAAGGCGACGACGGGUAGCUGGUCUGAGAGGAUGGCCAGCCACAGUUGGGACUGAGACACCGGCCCAGACCUCGUACGGGGAGG